Non-coding RNA from Triticum urartu, 115 nucleotides. The record is from Rfam. Lineage: Eukaryota; Viridiplantae; Streptophyta; Magnoliopsida; Poales; Poaceae.
AAGCUACUUCCUCCGUUCUAAAUUACUUGUCGUAGAAAUGGAUGUAUCUAGAACUAAAAUAUAUCUAGAUACAUCCAUACAUGUGAUAAGUAAUUGGAAACGGAAGGAGUAGAUC